Long non-coding RNA from Gallus gallus (chicken), 1339 nucleotides. RefSeq lists it as uncharacterized. The transcript is spliced from 3 exons. NCBI's taxonomy places the organism in Eukaryota, Metazoa, Chordata, Aves, Galliformes, Phasianidae. The record is from RefSeq and is a predicted model, not a curated record.
UGGAGGUUACAACAUUUUUACAACCACAUUUGUAAACACCAAGAGGAUGGCUUAGCUCAGCCAUUUCUGCAGUGAAAGUAGAUAAAUCUAUGGGAUUCUCUCCAGAGAGCAUAAAUCCAGUGACCUUCCAAAAAUCAUCUAGCUUCCAGAGGCAUGUACAAAGUCAAGCCUGUAAUUAUGGCUAUGAGAGACAGACCAUGUAAUGAACGACAAAAAUGAGUCAGAAGUGGGAAAGAGCACUGUAACAGUCUCUCAGCUCAUCAUUCAGGCAGCAGGUGUGGUCAUCAACAGGCAAGACUGAAGGCAACAGAUCAAGAACUGCAACCCUUUCUAUAUUCCUCGCUAUAAGGGAAGGAAAAAGGGGCACAAGAGCCAGAAGAGAGAAAAAAGAGGAUGUAUUUUUAGCCCUGUGCAAGACAACAUAGUUGCAGGAAAGGAAAAGCCACCACUCUGCAUAAUCUUUCUGAUGGCUACAGAAGGUGUCAGGAAAGGAGCAAAGCUUGGUCUUUACUAAUUUCUUCCAGCUAGAGACAAGGAAAAUGGCAUACAUCCCAAGCAGUGAUGGGAGAAUCUCUGAAGAAACCUUUAUGAAGUCACGAUGCCAGAUCCCAAACUAGGACGUAAACAGAUGUGUGGAGAUGGCCUCACAUUUAAUGGAUGGGCUGUGUAUGACCUGUCAGGCUUCACGCACCAGCUGUGAGACAUGCAUGCUGAACUCUCAUCUCCUCCUCCUACACGUCAGACAGUGACGGAGUAAUGGGUGCUGUUGCAGCGCAGAUCAGAUCAGCACAAUUCGCUCCAACUCACUCUUGCAGGUUCCCAAAAUUACAAGCCCAGCACUGCCUGGUGCUUUGAGAAAAACUCAGCGAGAAACUGAGUAUGAAGCCAGCUCAUGCUACGGCAGUCUUGCUCACCAAGCAGCAGUGUUAUAAGUACAUUAGCAUUUAGCAAAAUUGUACAAAGCCACGGUCCUGCCUCGAGGAGCUCAUGGCAUCACCAUACAGACAGAGGGACGAGAACAGGAAGCCACAUUAAAAGCAAAAUAAUUAAGCAGACAUGUUUGUUAUGUAUUCUUGCAACCACAUCAAGCCCAGGCAAAGGGAGGAAACUAUCGUGUCCUUGAAUGCGAUCCCCGCUCACACAUCCAGGUCUUGGCAGUCACGCGCAGCUCAGCACAGUUGGGCACAGCUUCCCAGUGCCUUUCCCAGGGCCAGACCUGCACUGGGCUGUGCAGAAUGCAGCAGGGAGGCACUCAGGAGUUUGCUGCAAGCCACACAUGUAAUUAAAUCACAGGCUGGUUCAGCUAGUGAAAGCAGGCACAAGCUAUGUAGAACCUGCU